RNAcentral lists this ribosomal RNA (279 nucleotides) under uncultured bacterium. RNAcentral's name for it is "partial 16S ribosomal RNA". It matches the Rfam family "Bacterial small subunit ribosomal RNA", at positions 506 to 784 of the family's 1533-position model. The record is from RNAcentral.
UGCCAGCAGCCGCGGUAAUACGAACUGUGCGAACGUUAUUCGGAAUCACUGGGCUUAAAGGGUGCGUAGGCGGUUACUUAAGUAGGGUGUGAAAUGCCCCGGCUCAACCGGGGAACUGCGCUCUAAACUGGGUGGCUUGAGUAAGAUAGAGGUGUGCGGAACUUCCGGUGGAGCGGUGAAAUGUGUUGAUAUCGGAGGGAACACCAUUGGCGAAAGCGGCACACUGGGUCUUAACUGACGCUGAGGCACGAAAGCCAGGGGAGCGAACGGGAUUAGAUA